UAUCCCCCCCUGUGUGCCCCUUGCCCUCCCCCACCGACCUGCAGAACGCGAAGAACCUUACCCACUUUUGCCAUCCCGGUAGCGGCCUUUAGAGAUAAGGGCUUCAUUUAGUUGGACCGGUGACAGGUGCUGCAUGGCUGUCGUCAGCUCGUGUCGUGAGAUGUUGGGUUAAGUCCCGCAACGAGCGCAACCCUCGUCGUAUGUUGCCAGCAAGUAAUGUUGGGCACUCAUAUGAGACUGCCGGUGAUAAGCCGGAGGAAGGUGGGGACGACGUCAAGUCAUCAUGGCCCUUACAGGUGGGGCUAGAAACGUGCUACAAUGGCAGUGACAAUGGGCAGCUACACAGCAAUGUGAUGCUAAUCCCAAAAAGCUGUCUCAGUUCAGAUUGUCCUCUGCAACUCGAGGGCAUGAAGCUGGAAUCGCUAGUAAUCGCAAAUCAGCAUGUUGCGGUGAAUACGUUCCCGGGUCUUGUACACACCG
This 480-nucleotide ribosomal RNA is filed under the name uncultured bacterium. RNAcentral describes it as "bacterial SSU rRNA". It matches the Rfam family "Bacterial small subunit ribosomal RNA", at positions 958 to 1392 of the family's 1533-position model. The record is from RNAcentral.